RNAcentral lists this ribosomal RNA (839 nucleotides) under uncultured bacterium. RNAcentral's name for it is "bacterial SSU rRNA". It matches the Rfam family "Bacterial small subunit ribosomal RNA", at positions 26 to 897 of the family's 1533-position model. The record is from RNAcentral.
AGAAUCAACGCUGGCGGCGCGCCUAACACAUGCAAGUCGAACGAGAAAGUGGAGCAAUCCAUGAGUAAAGUGGCGUACGGGUGAGUAACACGUGGAUCAUCUACCUUUUAGUGAGGAAUAACCAUGGGAAACCGUGGCUAAUACCGCAUAAGCCCGAGAGGGGAAAGUCGAAAGACGCUGAAAGAGGAGUCCGCGGCCGAUUAGCUAGUUGGCAGGGUAACAGCCUACCAAGGCAAAGAUCGGUAGCCGGCCUGAGAGGGCACACGGCCACACUGGCACUGAAACACGGGCCAGACUCCUACGGGAGGCAGCAGUGGGGAAUCUUGCACAAUGGGGGAAACCCUGAUGCAGCGACGCCGCGUGAGCGAUGAAGCCCUUCGGGGUGUAAAGCUCUUUCGUCAGGGAAGAUUAUGACGGUACCUGGAGAAGCAGCUGCGGCUAACUACGUGCCAGCAGCCGCGGUAAUACGUAGGCAGCGAGCGUUGUUCGGAGUUACUGGGCGUAAAGGGUGUGUAGGCGGUUGUUUAAGUUUGGUGUGAAAUCUCCCGGCUCAACUGGGAGGGUGCGCCGAAUACUGAGUGACUUCGAGUGCGGGAGAGGAUAGUGGAAUUCCUGGUGUAGCGGUGAAAUGCGUAGAUAUCAGGAGGAACACCGGUGGUGUAGACGGCUAUCUGGACCGUAACUGACGCUGAGACACGAAAGCGUGGGUAGCAAACAGGAUUAGAUUCCCUGGUAGUCCACGCCCUAAACGAUGCAUAUUUGAUGUGGGCAGUUCAUUCUGUCCGUGCCGGAGCUAACGCGUUAAAUAUGCCGCCUGGGGAGUACAGUCGCAAGGCUGA